UUGAGGAGGUUGCUGCUGUGAUCACAGCAGUCCCACUGCAGGGCAUAGCGGCUGGGUUACCACUUGUCAGAAUGUCUCCUCAGUUUACUAUUGGCGAAACAUGACCCAGGACAUGAAACAUUAUAUUGAAACAUGUAGUAAGUGCCAGCACUACACGCCAAUGAAGACAAAGGCCCCAGAGAUGCGUCCCAUAAAGGUGAAGGAGCCGUUGGAACUUAUAGGAGUCGACUUGGUCGGUGGGGCAAGCCUGCAAGGAUCCUGACUGAUCACGGACGUGAGUUUUGUUCCUCGAUCAACGACGAACUCUGCAAGUUCUACGGGAUCCGGAGGAGUAUCACGUCUGCCUACCAUCCGCAGACUAAUGGACUGGCAGAGAGAAUUAACCAGACUCUGGAGACCAGGCUUUCCAAGCUCUGCAACGCGACCAAGACCGACUGGCCAAACUUCCUGGAUGAAGUCGCCUAUAGCAUCCGUACCCAAAAGCAGCGGACCACCGGGUUCACACCUUUCCGGUUGAUGUUUGCUCGUGAGCACCGGCCACUUCACCAGGAAGAAAUUACAUUUGCUCCUGAGGCUUCUGCACAACCAGAGGGAAGGAGUACCACACCAGAAUUUCUUUUUGUUACAGUUCUUUGAAGAACUUGUUGAACUGCCCUCUUCCGAGGACAUUGCGGAGUGUGUCAAAGAGCAGGACCAGAGGCGUGAAGAACUGCACUCCAAGCGGGAACAGAGAGUUGAAGCAGCCCAAGAAAAGCAGAAGGCUGAGUACAGGAACAGGAAAGCAAGAGGAGUGAAGACCUUCAGCUUCUCUGUAGGGAUGAAGGUUCUUAAAAGAAACCUUCGCAAUGAGACUCGGAAGGGUGGGAUAAUGGAGCAGAAGUGGACUGGUCCAUACAAAGUCCUUGACAUCGACUCCUCAAACCGUGUGGCACUUGAGGCUGUGAGCAAUGGGAAGAAGCUCAAGAGCCGUACUCCAUACAACAACCUGAGGCCAUUCCUCCAGAGCCAGUUGCACUGUGACAGACACUUAUUGGACCACAGAGAUGGACUGCAGCCCUCCAGCAUUCAGGGACCUGUGCAGCCAUCACCUGACACCUCACAGUGCCUUUGCUGGACCUUCCUCAUCUACAAAUGUUGUUGAUGAUGACCUGUUUCCCUCGAUGAGUACGACAAUAAUCGAGGUGUCAGAGGAGUGAACCAACAGGAGAAGUGCCCCCAUCAUCGGCCUCAUCCAGUGUCCGACGACCCAGUGCCCUUAAACCCCAAAGGUCAACUUCCCUUCCUGCCAGUAGAAGUGGUAGUAGACCAGCAACUCCCACAGCAGCAGGUCACGAGUUACAACUGGUUCCUGAGUUCCUUACUACCCAAAAGGAAAUUCGAGGUCUGCUGAAGGACCUGGUGGAGGAGCAACGGACGAAUGGAAACCAUCUACGGGAUAUCGCCCGAGAUUUUACUGAAAUGGGGAAUUUAGGCAACCAUGUACAGGAUAUUGGCCAAAGUCUUUGGGAAAUAGGCGAGGCACUGAUGGCCAUAACGGGGGCUAUCAGUUCAAGAAAGUAGUUUUUUUUUAAAGUUAUUAUUUUCAUAAAUUAAGAUUUGAAUAUUUCUAUAAAAGAAUAGUUUAUAUAAUCAUUUUCAUUAUUAACUUUAAGAUCUUUGAUGGUGUUUGUCAAGCCAAUGCAUACCACAGAGGGGGGAUAUCCAGCACGACAGGAAUCAUUCCAUAUUUUUUUUCUUAGUGCAUUAUGAUAUGCCACUAUAAAGAAAAAUUCAGAGAGAACCAUCAUACACUGAACUUUAAUUUUUGCCAAGUUGUGUUAUAUUUUAUAUUUUUUAAAAUUCAGCACGUCAUGUUUUCUAUCUUGCCUGUAUAAUGUUCAUGAACAGGACGUUACCUGCCUUGCGUAUAGUCCUAACAUCAUUUACAGAUGCCGGACCACAGGUAUCAUCAUCUUCAGUGUAGGACGGUUCUUUCCUGGCCAUUUUCUAGUGGAACAUCAUGAUGCAUAAAGAGAUAAAAAAUAUCAAAAGCAUAUUUUGCAUCUUCAAUGACAUAGUUUCCAACCGUGUAAUUCAGGUAACAUUUUUUUACUAAAAACAGCCUUACAUAUGCAAUUCAUAAACAGUGUGCCUAAAAAGGUAUAAUUAACCCAGUAGCAGCGACGGGCCAAAUGUGUGCCA
Molecule: long non-coding RNA, 2181 nt
Organism: Eriocheir sinensis (Chinese mitten crab)
Lineage: Eukaryota; Metazoa; Arthropoda; Malacostraca; Decapoda; Varunidae
Exons: 12
Source: RefSeq, a predicted model, not a curated record